This 290-nucleotide ribosomal RNA is filed under the name uncultured Pseudomonas sp. RNAcentral describes it as "partial 16S ribosomal RNA". It matches the Rfam family "Bacterial small subunit ribosomal RNA", at positions 1093 to 1382 of the family's 1533-position model. Lineage: Bacteria; Pseudomonadati; Pseudomonadota; Gammaproteobacteria; Pseudomonadales; Pseudomonadaceae. The record is from RNAcentral.
CGAGCGCAACCCUUGUCCUUAGUUACCAGCACGUUAUGGUGGGCACUCUAAGGAGACUGCCGGUGACAAACCGGAGGAAGGUGGGGAUGACGUCAAGUCAUCAUGGCCCUUACGGCCUGGGCUACACACGUGCUACAAUGGUCGGUACAAAGGGUUGCCAAGCCGCGAGGUGAAGCUAAUCCCAUAAAACCGAUCGUAGUCCGGAUCGCAGUCUGCAACUCGACUGCGUGAAGUCGGAAUCGCUAGUAAUCGUGAAUCAGAAUGUCACGGUGAAUACGUUCCCGGGCCUU